Molecule: long non-coding RNA, 357 nt
Filed under: Musa acuminata (dwarf banana)
Lineage: Eukaryota; Viridiplantae; Streptophyta; Magnoliopsida; Zingiberales; Musaceae
Description: long non-coding RNA (MACU_LNC001787)
Source: RNAcentral
CUGAGGUCCUUCUUUUGCUGCUGGAACUUAGGCCCUUUGAGUCUCUCCUCUAUCUCUUGGUAGAUGAACUGAGCUUCUUGGUACCCAGUUCUUGCUUUCUGUGGAGUCUGCUGUGUCCAAGGUGCGGUCUCAGUCAUGAUCUUUGAUUUGUGUUUCAGCGGCGAAUGAUGAUCUUUUGGCUUUGCUAUUGUUGAAUCUCUGCUUUGAACAGCGUGAGGGAGCUGAUCACCUUUUGCAUCCCGAGUUCCUCUUGGUCUUGUUGCUGAGGUACAGUCUCUCGGUUCAUGGGAAGGAGCACAGCUUUUUCUGGCAACUGCUGCUUGAGCUGCUGAGUUCGAGCCGAGCAUUUCAUCCAAG